Molecule: ribosomal RNA, 472 nt
Filed under: uncultured bacterium
Lineage: Bacteria
Description: SSU rRNA
Rfam family: Bacterial small subunit ribosomal RNA
Source: RNAcentral
AGGAUGAACGCUGGCGGCGUGCCUAACACAUGCAAGUCGAACGUCCUGUCUCGCAAGAGGCAGGGAGUGGCGGACGGGUGAGUACCACGUGGGUCAUCUACCGUGAGGUGAGGAAUACCGGCGAGAAAUCGCCGACAAGACCGCAUAGGCUCGAUGCAAGUCGAGCAAAGCUCUUUCGAGAGAGGGAGCGCCACACGAGGGGCCUGCGCCCGAUUAGCUAGCUGGUGGAGUAACGGUUCACCAGGGCGACGAUCGGUAGCUGGUCUGAGAGGACGAUCAGCCACACUGGGAUUGAGAACGGCCCAGACUCCUACGGGGGGCAGCAGUGAGGAAUUUUCGUCAAUGGGGGCAACCCUGAACGAGCAACGCCGCGUGCAGGAAGAAGGUUUUCGGAUCGUAAACUGCUUUUCUCGGGAAGAGAACGGACGGUACCCGAGGAAUCAGCCCCGGCUAACUACGCGCCAGCAGCCGC